AGGGCCAAAAUUUCUUCCUAUUUGUUUAUUUUUGCUACAAUUUUAUUUGGUUUUUCUUUGCCUUUUUUUAUUGAUUGUGGCUUAUAGGUGGUGGUGAUGAGGGAAACGACGGUGGCGCGACGAUCACGGUGGUGGUGGCGGUCGCUCGGCUGAGUCCUUGUCGAAGUCGUUUUGAUUUUUUUGAAGUUUUUUUACUGUUUUUCUUUUUUUUUUGGUGUUGCCGAAUCCCCCUUUUCUUUCUCUUCAAGUUUUUCUUUUUAAUCCUUCAAUUUUGUCUUCUUCCUCUUUGUUUUCAGGUGGCACUGGAAGAGGGGGAGCACGCCCGACAGUCGAUUGGGGGUGUCAGGUGUGGAGAGCAGGGCACGCCUGAACGCUGAUUGGGGGUGGUCUAUCAUGGCCAGAAGGACCAAAUUGUAAAGGGUGUAAAAUUUCUGGGGCAAAAGCAUAAUUCUAGAAAAAUAUAGGGUUAAAAUGCAAUUUUUUGGAAAGUUUAGGGGCCCGAAUGUAAUUUACAAAUUAUUAGGGGUCAAGAUGUAAAUUUUGAAAAGUUUAAGGGCUAAAAUGUAAUUUAUAUUUUUUUGUAUUUUAUAUUUUUUUUCAAAAUUUUUAUUAUUACUAUUUUAUUAAUAUUUAAACAGAAAUUAAAAAUGGGCCAAAAUAAGUUCAAAAUUAAAUCCU
This 678-nucleotide long non-coding RNA is filed under the name Gossypium raimondii (Peruvian cotton). RNAcentral describes it as "long non-coding RNA (GRAI_LNC010328)". Lineage: Eukaryota; Viridiplantae; Streptophyta; Magnoliopsida; Malvales; Malvaceae. The record is from RNAcentral.